AGAGUUUGAUCCUGGCUCAGGACGAACGCUGGCGGCGUGCUUAACACAUGCAAGUCGAACGAUGAAGCCCUUCGGGGUGGAUUAGUGGCGAACGGGUGAGUAACACGUGGGCAAUCUGCCCUUCACUCUGGGACAAGCCCUGGAAACGGGGUCUAAUACCGGAUAACACUCCUGCAGGCAUCUGUGGGGGUUGAAAGCUCCGGCGGUGAAGGAUGAGCCCGCGGCCUAUCAGCUUGUUGGUGAGGUAGAAGCUCACCAAGGCGACGACGGGUAGCCGGCCUGAGAGGGCGACCGGCCACACUGGGACUGAGACACGGCCCAGACUCCUACGGGAGGCAGCAGUGGGGAAUAUUGCACAAUGGGCGAAAGCCUGAUGCAGCGACGCCGCGUGAGGGAUGACGGCCUUCGGGUUGUAAACCUCUUUCAGCAGGGAAGAAGCGAAAGUGACGGUACCUGCAGAAGAAGCGCCGGCUAACUACGUGCCAGCAGCCGCGGUAAUACGUAGGGCGCAAGCGUUGUCCGGAAUUAUUGGGCGUAAAGAGCUCGUAGGCGGUCUGUCACGUCGGAUGUGAAAGCCCGGGGCUUAACCCCGGGUCUGCAUUCGAUACGGGCAGACUAGAGUGUGGUAGGGGAGAUCGGAAUUCCUGGUGUAGCGGUGAAAUGCGCAGAUAUCAGGAGGAACACCGGUGGCGAAGGCGGAUCUCUGGGCCAUUACUGACGCUGAGGAGCGAAAGCGUGGGGAGCGAACAGGAUUAGAUACCCUGGUAGUCCACGCCGUAAACGGUGGGAACUAGGUGUUGGCGACAUUCCACGUCGUCGGUGCCGCAGCUAACGCAUUAAGUUCCCCGCCUGGGGAGUACGGCCGCAAGGCUAAAACUCAAAGGAAUUGACGG
Molecule: ribosomal RNA, 893 nt
Filed under: Streptomyces sp. C1R10_pA
Lineage: Bacteria; Bacillati; Actinomycetota; Actinomycetes; Kitasatosporales; Streptomycetaceae
Description: bacterial SSU rRNA
Rfam family: Bacterial small subunit ribosomal RNA
Source: RNAcentral